This is a small nuclear RNA of Saimiri boliviensis boliviensis (Bolivian squirrel monkey), 106 nucleotides long. NCBI's taxonomy places the organism in Eukaryota, Metazoa, Chordata, Mammalia, Primates, Cebidae. The record is from Ensembl.
GUGCUCACUUUGGCAGCACAUAUACUGAAAUUGGACUGAUACAGAGAAGAUUAGCAUGGCCCUGCACAAAGAUGACAUGGAAAUGUGUGAAGCGUUGCAUAAAUUU